GGACAGUGAUGAAAAUCACGAACAAGACACCAUCUUUCGGGACUGAUUGGUGCGCUCUGUGUGCCAUGUUGUGAAAGUCUGCAAUUCAGAUGUUC
Non-coding RNA from Triticum urartu, 95 nucleotides. NCBI's taxonomy places the organism in Eukaryota, Viridiplantae, Streptophyta, Magnoliopsida, Poales, Poaceae. The record is from Rfam.